GCCAUGCCUAGAGCGGCCACUCGAAAACCGGGCAACCCUUACCCGGCUGGCAUGGUUUCCGAAUUAAGGG
RNAcentral lists this small RNA (70 nucleotides) under Noviherbaspirillum autotrophicum. RNAcentral describes it as "Herbaspirillum sp. TSA66 int-alpA RNA". It matches the Rfam family "int-alpA RNA". From Rfam's summary of the family: Acidobacteria (1 example), Planctomycetes (1 example), Proteobacteria. Environment (Lake Washington) Lineage: Bacteria; Pseudomonadati; Pseudomonadota; Betaproteobacteria; Burkholderiales; Oxalobacteraceae. The record is from Rfam by way of RNAcentral.